Molecule: transfer RNA, 65 nt
Filed under: Dipodomys ordii (Ord's kangaroo rat)
Lineage: Eukaryota; Metazoa; Chordata; Mammalia; Rodentia; Heteromyidae
Rfam family: tRNA
About the family: Transfer RNA (tRNA) molecules are approximately 80 nucleotides in length. Their secondary structure includes four short double-helical elements and three loops (D, anti-codon, and T loops).
Source: Rfam by way of RNAcentral
GGUGGCUCAGUGGUAGAGCGCUUCCCUUGCAUGCAUGAGGACCUGGGUUCGAUUCCCCAGCACCA